CCUACGGGAGGCAGCAGUGGGGAAUAUUGGGCAAUGGAGGAAACUCUGACCCAGCGACGCCGCGUGCGGGAUGAAGGCCUUCGGGUUGUAAACCGCUUUCAGCAGGGAAGAAGCGAAAGUGACGGUACCUGCAGAAGAAGCACCGGCUAACUAUGUGCCAGCAGCCGCGGUAAUACAUAGGGUGCAAGCGUUGUCCGGAAUUAUUGGGCGUAAAGAGCUCGUAGGUGGUUCGUCACGUCGGAUGUGAAAAUCUGGGGCUUAACCCCAGACCUGCAUUCGAUACGGGCGAGCUUGAGUAUGGUAGGGGAGUCUGGAAUUCCUGGUGUAGCGGUGGAAUGCGCAGAUAUCAGGAGGAACACCAAUGGCGAAGGCAGGACUCUGGGCCAUUACUGACACUGAGGAGCGAAAGCGUGGGGAGCGAACAGGAUUAGAUACCCUGGUAGUCCACGCCGUAAACGGUGGGCACUAGUUGUGGGGACCUUCCACGGUCUCUGCGACGCNGCUACGCAUAGUGCCCGCCGUCGGAGGACGAGUCGCAGAUAACUACGAAGAAGUAGAGCGNGAGACGNGCGAGCGACGACGAGGGAGAG
This 590-nucleotide ribosomal RNA is filed under the name uncultured bacterium. RNAcentral describes it as "bacterial SSU rRNA". The stretch from base 1 to 520 matches the Rfam family "Bacterial small subunit ribosomal RNA", at positions 338 to 873 of the family's 1533-position model. The record is from RNAcentral.